Molecule: ribosomal RNA, 253 nt
Filed under: uncultured bacterium
Lineage: Bacteria
Description: partial 16S ribosomal RNA
Rfam family: Bacterial small subunit ribosomal RNA
Source: RNAcentral
UACGUAGGGGGCAAGCGUUGUCCGGAAUCAUUGGGCGUAAAGCGUGCGUAGGUGGUUUGUUAAGUCUGCUGUGAAAUCCCCGGGCUCAACCUGGGAAUGGCAGUGGAUACUGGCAAGCUAGAGUGCGGUAGAGGGAUGUGGAAUUCCCGGUGUAGCGGUGAAAUGCGUAGAGAUCGGGAGGAACACCAGUGGCGAAGGCGGCAUCCUGGACCAGCACUGACACUCAGGCACGAAAGCGUGGGGAGCAAACAGG